RNAcentral lists this unclassified non-coding RNA (317 nucleotides) under Hevea brasiliensis (rubber tree). The record is from RNAcentral. Lineage: Eukaryota; Viridiplantae; Streptophyta; Magnoliopsida; Malpighiales; Euphorbiaceae.
AAAACAAUCAUGGAAAUGCAUUCUGAUGAGGGUAGCUGCCAGUGAUGGAGCAUUAGGGAUAUGCUGGUUAACAAAAUCUUGAACAAUCUGCUCAGCUCUUGGGCAGCUUUGAGCAUAAAAGCCCAUCUGAAGUUGAGCUUCGGUUGAGCCUAUAUAUGCUAAAAAUGUGAAGACAAAUAUCCCAAAACAGCUUAAUCCUCCCAUGUUUUUGUUGGAUUGGAAACUUGUUCAGUAUCAGAAGCUAUUGCCUUCUAUUUAUGUACUGGUUUUGAUAACCAACAUCAGAAAAAGAUUUAUAGGCCUUAUUUUAGUGAAAC